This 72-nucleotide transfer RNA is filed under the name Pangasianodon gigas (Mekong giant catfish). Its description in RNAcentral is "tRNA-OTHER". The record is from RNAcentral. Lineage: Eukaryota; Metazoa; Chordata; Actinopteri; Siluriformes; Pangasiidae.
UCCCUGGAGGACUAGUGGUUAGGCCACAGCACUAUCCCCACCACGACUUGGGUUCAAUUCCCGGCCAGGGAA